AAUUGAAUAUGCGUAAGUUUCAAUGGAAAUUUGGUUAGAUUCCAAUACGGUCCCGCCACUGUAAAGAGCAUUUUUUGCUAUAAGUCAGGUCUUUAGAACUUAUGUACCCGUAAUACUGUUUCGAGGCAAAACAGUAGGACACAU
Molecule: small RNA, 144 nt
Filed under: Enterococcus rivorum
Lineage: Bacteria; Bacillati; Bacillota; Bacilli; Lactobacillales; Enterococcaceae
Source: RNAcentral